This 365-nucleotide long non-coding RNA is filed under the name Chinchilla lanigera (long-tailed chinchilla). Its description in RNAcentral is "lncRNA (ENSCLAG00000024026.1)". Lineage: Eukaryota; Metazoa; Chordata; Mammalia; Rodentia; Chinchillidae. The record is from RNAcentral.
UGUCAGUAGGCCCCACCUCCUAAAGCUUCCAUGGCUACCUAAUAGCGCUACUGGCUAGCAACCAAGCUUUUAGGCUAGGAGCCUGGAGUGAACAAUUAAGAUGCAAGCAGAUUAUAUAUUCACACAUACAUUUUAGCACUUGGAGAUUGCUGUGUGAUUAUAAUUUUCCUUCGAGUGACUGUGGAGAUUCUGGCUUCAUUACAAUUCAGUUGGUUCUGAAUAUUAUUUACCUGAUCCUUAGAAGAAGCCCCUUCUCAAUGAGGUUUGCCUUAUUUAUUUACAUAGUUUGUCUACUGUCCCUCAAAUCCUUCUUCCUCUUUAUCUACUAUCCUUGUCAGGUAUAAUAUAUUAGAGAUCUGUUUCUG